CAAUAUAAAGCUUUAAGAAGUUUUUUAUUUACAUUAAAAAGGAAGUUGUUUAAUCAACUUAUAUUGA
Molecule: transfer RNA, 67 nt
Filed under: Nephus oblongosignatus
Lineage: Eukaryota; Metazoa; Arthropoda; Insecta; Coleoptera; Coccinellidae
Description: tRNA-Val
Source: RNAcentral